GGGGAUUUAGCUCAGUGGUAGAGCGCUUGCCUAGCAAGCUCAAGACCCUGGGUUCGAUCCCCAGCUCCG
RNAcentral lists this transfer RNA (69 nucleotides) under Rattus norvegicus (Norway rat). It matches the Rfam family "tRNA". From Rfam's summary of the family: Transfer RNA (tRNA) molecules are approximately 80 nucleotides in length. Their secondary structure includes four short double-helical elements and three loops (D, anti-codon, and T loops). Lineage: Eukaryota; Metazoa; Chordata; Mammalia; Rodentia; Muridae. The record is from Rfam by way of RNAcentral.